AUGGGUAGCAACACACAGCCGCAGGUCCCUCCGGGUUUUCGGUUCCACCCGACUGACGAGGAGCUCGUGGACUACUACCUCCGCAAGAAGGUGGCGUCCAGAAGGAUCGACCUAAACGUCAUCAAGGAUGUUGAUCUCUACAAGAUAGAGCCAUGGGAUCUCCAAGAGAAAUGCAGGAUAGGGCCUGAGGAGGAGCAGAGCGACUGGUACUUCUUCAGCCACAAGGACAAGAAGUACCCGACAGGGACUCGGACAAACCGCGCUACCGCGGCGGGUUUCUGGAAGGCGACGGGGAGGGACAAACCCAUCUAUGCAAAGCACUGCCUGGUUGGCAUGAGGAAGACCCUGGUGUAUUACAAGGGCAGAGCUCCCAAUGGCCAGAAAUCCGACUGGAUCAUGCAUGAGUACCGCCUCGAGACCAAUGAGAAUGGCCCUCCACAGGAAGAAGGGUGGGUAGUAUGCAGGGUGUUCAAGAAGAGAUUACCAACAACAAGAAGGGACCUAGACCAUGAUGCGCCAUGUUGGUACAUCGAUGACGAUGGGCCCUUCAUGCAUGACCUCAACUCUCCCAUGAGAGGAAUGCCGCCUCACCACAGCAUGGCACUGCAAGAACAACACCUCCAGAUGCUCAACAGCACCUACAAGAGGGAGCUGAAGCUGCAAUACCAAAUGCCAAACCAUCAUCAUGUUCUCAACACCAUUCCUCACGAGCUAGAGAGCCCUUCUUCCUUCCACUCUCUUUUGGUAUCGCCAGACGAUCACCAAAUCAAUGUGCACCAUGCCCAGCACCACCAUGUUCAACUUAUUGACCAUGCCGUCGACGACCAAGCUGCCACCGACUGGAGAGUUCUGGACAAGUUCGUCGCGUCUCAGCUUAGUAACGAUGCGGCCAAGGGUGUCGAUUAUGCUCAUGAAGGAGACAUUCUUCAGCUCAACGAGAAGGCGCAAGAGUUGGCAACUGAUUACGCGUCGACCUCAACAUCGAGCAGUCAAGUUGAUCCAUGGAAGUGA
Molecule: ribosomal RNA, 1011 nt
Filed under: Triticum aestivum (bread wheat)
Lineage: Eukaryota; Viridiplantae; Streptophyta; Magnoliopsida; Poales; Poaceae
Description: partial small subunit ribosomal RNA
Source: RNAcentral